Molecule: ribosomal RNA, 513 nt
Filed under: uncultured bacterium
Lineage: Bacteria
Description: partial 16S ribosomal RNA
Rfam family: Bacterial small subunit ribosomal RNA
Source: RNAcentral
GACGAACGCUGGCGGCGUGCCUAAUACAUGCAAGUCGAGCGGACAGAAGGGAGCUUGCUCCCGGACGUUAGCGGCGGACGGGUGAGUAACACGUGGGCAACCUGCCCCUUAGACUGGGAUAACUCCGGGAAACCGGAGCUAAUACCGGAUAAUCCCUUUCUCCACCUGGAGAGAGGGUGAAAGAUGGCUUCGGCUAUCACUAGGGGAUGGGCCCGCGGCGCAUUAGCUAGUUGGUAAGGUAACGGCUUACCAAGGCAACGAUGCGUAGCCGACCUGAGAGGGUGAUCGGCCACACUGGGACUGAGACACGGCCCAGACUCCUACGGGAGGCAGCAGUAGGGAAUCUUCCGCAAUGGACGAAAGUCUGACGGAGCAACGCCGCGUGAGUGAGGAAGGCCUUCGGGUCGUAAAGCUCUGUUGUGAGGGAAGAAGCGGUACCGUUCGAAUAGGGCGGCACCUUGACGGUACCUCACCAGAAAGCCACGGCUAACUACGUGCCAGCAGCCGCCGUAA